AACGUCAAGCAAAGCACAACAACAUCCACUCCCCACACUCAGCUGCAGACGCUGACACGCGGCUCCCUUGGGACUCAGGCAACUGAAGAGACACCCGGUCAGGGGCUGGGGUUUGCUCUGCAACCACCUGGGGCAGGAGGAGGCCCUGCGUCUUGUGGGCUUGCUGCCCUGUCCCCCUGGAACAGGAGGCCGAUCGCUGACCAGGCUGAGAGGUCACUACCUCCUGUGAUGGGACAGUCCAUGACGCCGACACUGCAAAGCAAACCAGGGCACACGCUGGUCACCCCCCAGCCCCACAGGCCAGGUGCUUCCUGGACGGCCAGCGGUCACAGCAAAGCCCAGGCGGGUGUCCAGCCAACACCUUCUCAGGAGGGCCCCGGGCCCAGGAAUUCUCCCCGCCACGCUCUCCAGAGGAAGCUGGGGGUCUCCUGAGUCACCACACCACGUGCACGCGGGCAGCAGCUAGUGUGGCAGGAGUGCGGGUGGAGCCAGCCGGGUGGCAUUUGGGGAGUGUCCUCUCUCCACCUUCUCCAGAGGCCAGGACUGUUCAGCUGGCUGCGGAACUACUCAUGGACCCUGGACGUGCAUGGGAACCUGUCAGUGGUCAUGAGGAGCCUUUGGGCCUAAGACCCAUCAGCAAGGGUUGGGGUGGGGGAGGGGGCAGGCGGCUGAGGAAAAGGUGGCACCUCGGUCCACACCCCUGGCCCGGCCCAGGCCCAGGCUAACCCGAGGGGCCCUCCAAGGUCCUGGCUACCUGCCUCUCCCCUGCCUGCCCGCGGGGGCUCUUGGGCUCCUCAGGCCCUGCUCAGCUCUUACCAACGUCAGGAGGGCUGGCGCCCAGCACAUUGGGGGACACUCUGCUGGACGUGCAAAAGCAGCGUGGCUUCUGCAGCUCUUCCCACCCUCACAGAGGGCUCCAGAGGGGUCACCAGGUACGGACACUGAUCAAGCAUGCAAAAUAUUCAAAGGACGUGGGCCACAGGGUGGACAGCACCGUGAGGUGGACUUUGGACUCAGUACAAAGGUGAGUAAAGGCUUACAACCAACCCAGAUGCGCAGAGGCCGCCGGGAGGAGGGAGCUUCCAGGCCCUGAGGCCAUUCCAGCUCAGGAGGACCACGGCCCUGGACACACGAGUCAGCCUGUCUUCCUUGCCCCAUGGUCACUAGCAGGGGACAGCUGUGUAUGCCAAGUACCCCGCCUGCCUCUAAGGGACCAACCAGCACUUUCUAGAGACGCCCCAGCCCCAGGGCAGGACGAGCGGACUCCUCAGGGGAAGGUGGAGAGGAACUUGAGGUCGCCUGGGGUGUCCAGAGCACCAGCUGCCACCAGCCGGGGGGAAGGCCAGGAGGUUGGCAGGGGCCCUCCACUGCAGGGAUGGACCCAGGCCACCGAGCGAGCGCACACAGGGUAGGGAGAGUUCAGGUCAACCCAGCCCAGCCCAGUGCCCAGCAGGACGGGUCCUCCCGUGAACCCCUGGGGCCAGGUGUGGACUUUGGAAGGAACCUGAGAGGUGGUGACUGCUCAGCUGGUCCCUGCAGACAGAGGAGGGGGGACAGGAAAGAAUGAACAACCAGGGAAAAGGCGGAGAAGGGAAGUGGAGUGGCCGGCUCUGUGGGGUCCUCGGUGGGAACUGACCCCCACGGUGCUCAGGACCUGCAGAGCAUCCCACCAGCGAGGUCCACACCAUGGCUGUCCCCCACAUCCCACAAUGCAGCGAGGGCAGGAGCACUCUCUGCAGGAGUCACCGUCACACCCAGGACUCUCCACUACACCGUCCUCCGGGUGGAGGGCAGGGUUGGGAUGGGGAAGGUGGGCACUUGGUGGAGGUGCCGAGAUGAGAGAGGUCAGGAGGGGCAGACUGGCUUGGGGGACCCCGCAGAGAGCCCGGCUCCUCCAGGCGGCAGGAGGGGACCGUCAAGUGUCAUUCCUGGAACCCAACUGAAUACAGAGCUGGCACUGGACGCCUACCACGGGGAUGAACAGGGCCUCGAUGGGCCUGGGAGGGGCCGAGGAAGGACAUUUUCCUGGUUCAAGUUACGAGUUUUAGACAGAAAAAAUGUGAGUGCUGUGAGGGGGGCUGUCCCACCCGCCGGCUCCGUCCACUGGUGAGUGACCAAGUGAACCAGCGGGCAUGUGGGCUCUAAGAUGGGACACCGAGGGGGGUCUGGGCUGGGGGUGACGAGCACACCUGUGGCCACGAGCCAGCUGGACCUGACCGCGGGGGGAGAUCAACAGAACUGAGGGGGCAGGUGGCAGGGAAGGGCCGGGUAGGGCUGCGUCACCCCGUGGGACAGGGACCCCAUCCACAGGAUCAGAGCAGCCAGACGGGGCUCGCACGGGGGUAGGCCCCGGGUCACUGGGUGACCAACCAUCCCAGCUGGCCCAGGACAGAGGGGUUUUCCAUGACGUGGGGCUCUCAGUGCUAAAACCGGGCAGGCCUUGGGCGCAACAGGACGAGCUGGUCACCCUAAGUACCCGCAGGUCCCCCCGGCCAGGUCUGCAGGGAACAAGAUCAUCAAUCACCAACCAGGUUUCUAAGGUGCCUCAGACUGUGCCCAGCCACCGCCAGCAGCCACCGUGAGCAGCGCCGGCCGGCAUGGCGCACUCACCCAGCAGGGGAGAGGCCAGAGGCAGCCACCCGCACGGAGGUCCCACGCAGGUGAGCAGCAAGGCCAGGCUGAGCUCACCCUCGGCCUCCGCCUGUCCACACACACGUGGAUGCCCGGGAGGGGCACCACAGGCUGAGCACUGUCGUCCUCCAGGGCUGGCGGCACCCAGAGGACAGCAGAGGCCUGGUCCUCACGGGAGGACUCGGAGGCCCAGGGACGGGGAGCAUCUGGCCCUCUGCUCUCUGUCACUGGGGAACAGGGGGCCACCAGCUGGAGGAUGGCGGGGUCUCUGCUGCCCCCCACCAUCACCAGGACGGCCACCCCUGGGGUGAGGCUGGGAUUGGAGAAGGUGCCCUGUGAGGGGCAGGCGGCUCCUCCCACCCUGGAAGGCCCUGGGCAACCGGCUCUUGGCAGCUGAGCAGGGAAAAGACGGGGGCGCAGGGAGAUCGGGGAAGUGGGGCUGGGAGGGGCUCGGUGGCAGAGCGUCUGCCUGGCAGGCAGGAGGACCUGAGAGAGAGGGGGCGGGGGGACAGUCCCGUGGAAGGGCCAAGGAGCCAUGAUCCGGCCGCAAACUCGGCUUCACCUUGGGCCCCAGCCUGGCCCGGCCCAGAGACCCCAGUUCUCUGCAGAGAAUUUGCAUCUGUGACAAGUUCUCAGGGGCCACUGAGUGGCUGGUUCCCUGGCAGCACAUCUGGACCCCCACUGGCCAGGCUGCUCUGGCUGUGGGGACAGGGGCCUGAAGGCCCAGGCAGGCCGCGGGCGGUGCUGGAGACCUGUCUGGAAUGCAGGUGCUCAGGGCUGUCCCCAGAGCCUCCCGAGUGCCCAGUCUAUGGGGCCAGGAAACAUUCUAGAAACAAGCUCCUGAGUGAUUCAGGCGCAGGUGGCCCAGGGGCCAUGCAUGGAAGCCUCAGGGGCCGCGAUGGCAAAACAAACAUCUCGCUCUUACCAACGGGGAGGAGCUAUAGAACUAUUUUUUGGCUGAUUCAAGUCCUGAUUCAAGGCCACCUCUGACAUGAAGAAUCCCAGCCACUUGGGGCCUUUUACAAUUAAAGAAAAUUUAAAAUUCUGUU
Marmota monax (woodchuck) is the source of this 3680-nucleotide long non-coding RNA. RefSeq lists it as uncharacterized. Lineage: Eukaryota; Metazoa; Chordata; Mammalia; Rodentia; Sciuridae. The transcript is spliced from 2 exons. The record is from RefSeq and is a predicted model, not a curated record.